This 324-nucleotide long non-coding RNA is filed under the name Homo sapiens (human). RNAcentral's name for it is "non-protein coding SRP14-AS1:26". The record is from RNAcentral. Lineage: Eukaryota; Metazoa; Chordata; Mammalia; Primates; Hominidae.
GGAGGCGCUGGGGCUGUCCUGGGUCGUCACAUGCGAGAAAUCGUCUCACCCCAGCCAGUGUGACGGAGUGAGAGCAAAAGAAAGUUUUGAUAGCAGCGUACGAUUUAUAUUCAGCUGUAUGCUGGGCAGGUCCAACUUGGCAUUUCUUGGCUGUAUCUCUGAAGGAAAGUCAUCUUAAUCUCUAUGAGCCUCCAUUUCCUCAGCUGUAAAAUGGGAAGAUCUUCCUCACACUGCUGUGACAUUUAGUGAGUGCCUGCUGUGUGUCAUCCAUUGUGACAGUGUUGGGAACACGGAGAUGAAUAAAACAAGGCCCCUGUCCUGGGA